RNAcentral lists this ribosomal RNA (669 nucleotides) under uncultured Geobacillus sp. Its description in RNAcentral is "bacterial SSU rRNA". It matches the Rfam family "Bacterial small subunit ribosomal RNA", at positions 28 to 674 of the family's 1533-position model. Lineage: Bacteria; Bacillati; Bacillota; Bacilli; Caryophanales; Anoxybacillaceae. The record is from RNAcentral.
GAUGAACGAUGGCGGCGUGCGUAAUACAUGCAAGUCGAGCGGGCCAAAUCGGAGCUUUCUCUGGUUUGGUCAGCGGCGGACGGGUGAGUAACACGUGGGCAACCUGCCCGCAAGACCGGGAUAACUCCGGGAAACCGGAGCUAAUACCGGAUAACACCCGAAAGACCGCAUGGUCUUUGGUUGAAAGGCGGCCUUUGGCUGUCACUUGCGGAUGGGCCCGCGGCGCAUCAGCUAGUUGGUGAGGUAACGGCUCACCAAGGCGACGAUGCGUAGCCGGCCUGAGAGGGUGACCGGCCACACUGGGACUGAGACACGGCCCAGACUCCUACGGGAGGCAGCAGUAGGGAAUCUUCCGCAAUGGGCGAAAGCCUGACGGAGCGACGCCGCGUGAGCGAAGAAGGCCUUCGGGUUGUAAAGCUCUGUUGUGAGGGACGAAGGAGCGCCGUUCGAAGAGGGCGGCGCGGUGACGGUACCUCACGAGGAAGCCCCGGCUAACUACGUGCCAGCAGCCGCGGUAAUACGUAGGGGGCGAGCGUUGUCCGGAAUUAUUGGGCGUAAAGCGCGCGCAGGCGGUCCCUUAAGUCUGAUGUGAAAGCCCACGGCUCAACCGUGGAGGGUCAUUGGAAACUGGGGGACUUGAGUGCAGGAGAGGAGAGCGGAAUUCCACGU